RNAcentral lists this ribosomal RNA (254 nucleotides) under uncultured bacterium. Its description in RNAcentral is "partial 16S ribosomal RNA". It matches the Rfam family "Bacterial small subunit ribosomal RNA", at positions 524 to 776 of the family's 1533-position model. The record is from RNAcentral.
UACGUAGGGUGCGAGCGUUGUCCGGAAUUAUUGGGCGUAAAGAGCUCGUAGGCGGUGUGUCGCGUCGGCCGUGAAAACCUGGGGCUUAACUCUGGGCGUGCGGUCGAUACGGGCAUCACUAGAGUUCGGCAGGGGAGACUGGAAUUCCUGGUGUAGCGGUGAAAUGCGUAGAUAUCAGGAGGAAUACCGGUGGUGUAGACGGCUCUCUGGACCGCAACUGACGCUGAGACACGAAAGCGUGGGUAGCAAACAGG